Molecule: ribosomal RNA, 494 nt
Filed under: uncultured bacterium
Lineage: Bacteria
Description: bacterial SSU rRNA
Rfam family: Bacterial small subunit ribosomal RNA
Source: RNAcentral
GACGAACGCUGGCGGCGUGCUUAACACAUGCAAGUCGAACGGAGUGCCCAUGACGGAGGUUUCGGCCAAUAGAUUGGGUUACUUAGUGGCGGACUGGUGAGUAACGCGUGAGGAACCUGCCUUUCAGAGGGGGACAACAGCUGGAAACGGCUGCUAAUACCGCAUGACAUAUAUUAAGGGCAUCCUUGAUAUAUCAAAGAUUUUAUCGCUGAAAGAUGGCCUCGCGUCCGAUUAGAUAGUUGGCGGGGUAACGGCCCACCAAGUCGACGAUCGGUAGCCGACCUGAGAGGGUGAUCGGCCACAUUGGGACUGAGACACGGCCCAGACUCCUACGGGAGGCAGCAGUGGGGAAUAUUGCACAAUGGGGGAAACCCUGAUGCAGCAACGCCGCGUGAGUGAUGACGGUCUUCGGAUUGUAAAGCUCUGUCUUCAGGGACGAUAAUGACGGUACCUGAGGAGAAGGCCACGGCUAACUACGUGCCAGCAGCCGACGG